This 455-nucleotide ribosomal RNA is filed under the name uncultured bacterium. RNAcentral describes it as "bacterial SSU rRNA". It matches the Rfam family "Bacterial small subunit ribosomal RNA", at positions 29 to 507 of the family's 1533-position model. The record is from RNAcentral.
AUGAACGCUGGCGGCGUGCUUAACACAUGCAAGUCGAACGAACCUUCGGGUUAGUGGCGGACGGGUGAGUAACGCGUGAGAAUCUGCCCUCAGGAGGGGGACAACAGUUGGAAACGGCUGCUAAUACCCCAUAUGCCGCGAGGUGAAAUGAAUUUCGCCUGAGGAUGAGCUCGCGUCUGAUUAGCUAGUUGGUGUAGGUAAUGGCUCACCAAGGCAUCGAUCAGUAGCUGGUCUGAGAGGAUGAUCAGCCACACUGGGACUGAGACACGGCCCAGACUCCUACGGGAGGCAGCAGUGGGGAAUAUUGGACAAUGGGCGCAAGCCUGAUCCAGCAAUGCCGCGUGUGUGAAGAAGGCCUUAGGGUUGUAAAGCACUUUCAGUAGGGAAGAAAAGCACAGGUCUAAUACUCCUGUGUCUUGACGGUACCUACAGAAGAGGCACCGGCUAACUCCGUG